GGAGUCUUGCUCAGUCACCCAGGCUAGAGUGCAGUGCACAAUCUCAGCUCACUGCAACCUCCACCUCCCGGGUUCACGCCAUUCUCCCGCCUCAGCCUCCCGAGUAGCUGGGACUACAGAUGUCCUCCACGAUGCCCGACUAAUUUUUUUUUUUUUUUUGUAUUUUUAAUAGAGACGGGGUUUCACCAUGUUAGCCAGGAUGGUCUCGAUCUCCUGACUUCGAGAUCCACCCACCUCGGCCUCCCAAAGUGCUGGGAUUACAGGCAUGAGCCACCACACCCGGCGACUCAUUCUUAUACAACUACCUUUGUCAGCAUUCUUGCCAUUGGACUGUCUAGCCCUUGAUGCUGUUAUAUCAUGGCUUGUUGAUACAGAAGAUGCUACAUGAACUCAAGUGGAACUCUGACUGCCUUGAGAGCAUCCCACCAUCCAUUGCUGCUGCAUCAAGGUAUUAAAAAGAGAGACAGAAGGAAGAGGAACUGAAACAACUGUUGAAGGCCCAAUCCCACGAACCAGGCCCACCUCUAUUCAACCCAGGGGACCUAGUACUGGUAAAGGCUCCAGAAGCAGACCAGCAGACUAGCAGACAAGCAGAUGGACAGUGGAACGACGUGGCAGAGAGAGAGAGAAGAGGAGGAACAUCUGAACACUGAGGGGAGUUUGCCCAGGGGCGAUCGGAGAAGAUACCAGCUACUGGAUGGCCCGCCUCCAAGGGAAGAUCACCUUCCCACUCCAUUUCCCUUUCCAGUCCCCAAUCCAUCUCACUGAGAGCCACCUCCACCACUCAAUAAAAUCUUG
This 798-nucleotide long non-coding RNA is filed under the name Homo sapiens (human). Its description in RNAcentral is "HSALNT0165107". Lineage: Eukaryota; Metazoa; Chordata; Mammalia; Primates; Hominidae. The record is from RNAcentral.